UCGAGAAUUUUUCACAAUGGGCGAAAGCCUGAUGGAGCGACGCCGCGUGGGGGAUGAAUGGCUUCGGCCCGUAAACCCCUGUCAUCUGCGAGCAAUGCUGCGCGCCGAAUACGCGCGCAGUUGAUAGUAGCAGAAGAGGAAGGAACGGCUAACUCUGUGCCAGCAGCCGCGGUAAUACAGAGGUUCCAAGCGUUGUUCGGAUUCACUGGGCGUAAAGGGUGCGUAGGCGGUUGGGUAAGUCUGAUGUAAA
Molecule: ribosomal RNA, 250 nt
Filed under: uncultured bacterium
Lineage: Bacteria
Description: partial 16S ribosomal RNA
Rfam family: Bacterial small subunit ribosomal RNA
Source: RNAcentral